UCCCUGGUGGUCCAGUGGUUAAGACUCUACUCUCAUUGCAGAGGGCCUAGGUUCAAUCCCUGACCAGGGAA
Molecule: transfer RNA, 71 nt
Filed under: Ovis aries (sheep)
Lineage: Eukaryota; Metazoa; Chordata; Mammalia; Artiodactyla; Bovidae
Rfam family: tRNA
About the family: Transfer RNA (tRNA) molecules are approximately 80 nucleotides in length. Their secondary structure includes four short double-helical elements and three loops (D, anti-codon, and T loops). Further hydrogen bonds mediate the characteristic L-shaped molecular structure. tRNAs have two regions of fundamental functional importance: the anti-codon, which is responsible for specific mRNA codon recognition, and the 3' end, to which the tRNAs corresponding amino acid is attached (by aminoacyl-tRNA synthetases). tRNAs cope with the degeneracy of the genetic code in two manners: having more than one tRNA (with a specific anti-codon) for a particular amino acid; and 'wobble' base-pairing, i.e. permitting non-standard base-pairing at the 3rd anti-codon position.
Source: Rfam by way of RNAcentral